GGUCAGUCGGGACCACCCGCUGAGUUUAAGCAUUAUAA
Molecule: ribosomal RNA, 38 nt
Filed under: Sorghum nitidum
Lineage: Eukaryota; Viridiplantae; Streptophyta; Magnoliopsida; Poales; Poaceae
Description: partial 26S ribosomal RNA
Source: RNAcentral